Molecule: transfer RNA, 63 nt
Filed under: Harmonia quadripunctata (cream-streaked ladybird beetle)
Lineage: Eukaryota; Metazoa; Arthropoda; Insecta; Coleoptera; Coccinellidae
Description: tRNA-Trp
Source: RNAcentral
AAGGAUUUAAGUUAAAAAAACUAGUAACCUUCAAAGUUAAAAAUAGAUUUAUUCUAAGCCUUA